CCUCCUGCCAUCCUCAGCAUGAGCCAGCUGCAUGAGGGGUGCUGUGUGCUGGGCUGGAGGAUGGAGCCAUGUGCCACUCCCUCCGAGGCACGCUGUGAAGGGGCACUGAUGGAGGCAUUUUCCAAAGAACAGUGACAAGGACGGCCAGCACCUCUCUUGCAUUCCUCAGUCUGACUCAAGCUGCUCUUCCACCCUCCUCCCCAGCUGGAGCUGAGGCUGAAGGCAGUUGAGGGCCACCAGGGAGAAGAGCUGGGUCAGGGCCGUGACUUGCCAGCAAGCAUGAGGCCAAGCAGAUGUGCCGCUUCAGAGAAGUGAUUUUACCCUGAGCUACACAGGCAGGAAGACCACCAGCCUGGAAGCGUGGAACACAGACGCUCUGGGUGUUGAAGAGGAGGCUUCACCCUUAAAUCCACACCAACAGCCCCCUUCACUUCCCCCGGUGAAGAACGAAGGACCCUGUGGGAUUUCUACUUCAAAUCUCUCAUUUAUUCCGACAUCCACUCGGUUAUGACUCCAAGUUAUCAAAGAUGCAAGACAAGAAGUCUAGAGCAGGAGUGGUGAAGUGGAGGUGGAGAAAGACGGCGGAGAGGGCUGUGUUCCUGGCCCCUCCUUCUCUUCCAAUUUAGGGCACCGUUUGAAAAGUGUACAAGUAGUGUCCCUUAGCACAGACUAGACAGCAGAAAAGGACAGUGCGGCAGGACGUACGAAUGAUGUUAUUUCUGGCAAGGAGGACACGGCUGCUGUGGUUGAUUGGCUGUGGAAUUCCAGGGGAGCAAGGCACUAGGAAGUGGGGAACGCUGCCAGGCCCAGCAGCUCAUCAGGAGCUUGCACUUGGCCCAGUUAGGGCUGGCCGUGGGACGGGCUUGUUGAAGCUGCUGCCGCCAUAAGCUGCCCCUCUGCACCAGGAGACAGAUCCCAUUACCCCACCUACAGCUGCUUCCUGGUACAAGAGAAGAGUUACCAUUUGAAAUGACUCCACAGGAGAGUCUGACAAACAUGUUUGCUUUUCACUGACAAUUAAAAUUGUUUUGCUGCUA
RNAcentral lists this long non-coding RNA (1037 nucleotides) under Homo sapiens (human). RNAcentral describes it as "long non-coding RNA NONHSAT152597.1". The record is from RNAcentral. Lineage: Eukaryota; Metazoa; Chordata; Mammalia; Primates; Hominidae.